AGAAACUCCCAAACACCGCUGAACUUCCAUCAUCGCCUGUGUUCGUUUCCAUGCAGUUUAAAAGGGCACUGUUCGGUGAGAUCAUUCGUCUAGGUGUAGGAAACAAGCUCCAGGGUAACACUAUUGACUCCGUUUGUUAGUUUGCAAACUACCGAACUAGACUGGCCGCAAGCCCUGAUUCUCUGGAACUGUUUUGGGCAUGAAAUCAUGCGUGCGUUAGGUCAAAAGAGACUUCCAG
Non-coding RNA from Pelobates cultripes (western spadefoot toad), 238 nucleotides. The record is from the annotation of a GenBank genome assembly. NCBI's taxonomy places the organism in Eukaryota, Metazoa, Chordata, Amphibia, Anura, Pelobatidae.